This 253-nucleotide ribosomal RNA is filed under the name uncultured bacterium. Its description in RNAcentral is "partial 16S ribosomal RNA". It matches the Rfam family "Bacterial small subunit ribosomal RNA", at positions 524 to 776 of the family's 1533-position model. The record is from RNAcentral.
UACAGAGGGGGCAAGCGUUGUUCGGAAUUACUGGGCGUAAAGGGCGCGUAGGCGGCCUGCUAAGUCGAACGUGAAAUCCCCGGGCUCAACCCGGGAACUGCGUCCGAUACUGGCAGGCUUGAAUCCGGAAGAGGAGAGUGGAAUUCCUGGUGUAGCGGUGAAAUGCGCAGAUAUCAGGAGGAAUACCGGUGGCGAAGGCGGCAUCCUGGACCAUUACUGACGCUGAGGCGCGAAAGCUAGGGGAGCAAACGGG